AAGACUACAAGCUUCUAGCCUACGAGUUCUAUUAUUUGGGCCAUGGUUCUUGUGAUGAAUGGUGGUCUAUUUAUAGUAGGAUGGCUAAUAUACCGCCAAAGUGCUAUAGUGGAUCCGUGAUGGCUCACGACAAGAUUCUCCCUAUGCGAUAAGGUUGCACAGUCUUCACGUGAUGCUUGGCCUGACCUUCCUAAGGGCUGAUAGGAAUCUUGCAGUUGCUCAGGCGGCGCAGUAUUUGUGGACAAG
This 246-nucleotide long non-coding RNA is filed under the name Setaria italica (foxtail millet). Its description in RNAcentral is "long non-coding RNA (SITA_LNC000397)". The record is from RNAcentral. Lineage: Eukaryota; Viridiplantae; Streptophyta; Magnoliopsida; Poales; Poaceae.